GGCUAGGGGAGGCGAGUUGCAUGUGUCGCUUCAGCUGGCGAUAGCGGCAGGAGCGGAGCCGGUGGGGCCAGUGCAACUGCCUGGAUUUGUGAAAUGGCUGCUGACAUUUCUGAAUCCAGCCGGACUGAUUGCAAAGGAGACCCAAGGAACAGUGCCAAGUUAGAUGCCGAACUCGAAGUGGGUACUUCGAGUCCUUUAUUGUGGAGUCUGUUCAUUACCAACAGAGUACUGUGAAUAUAUGCCUGAUGUGGCUAAAUGUAGACAAUGGUUAGAGAAGAAUUUUCCAAAUGAAUUUGCAAAACUUACUGUAGAAAAUUCACCCAAACAAGAAGCUGGAAUUAGUGAGGGUCAAGGAACAGCAGGGGAAGAAGAAGAGAAGAAAAAACAGAAGAGACGUGGAAGGGGUCAAAUAAAACAAAAAAAGAAGACUGUACACAAAAGGUUACUGUAGCCAAAACUCCCAGAGCAAAAAAGAAAUACGUGACAAGAGCGCGUGGCCUUGCAGCUUUUCAAAUUGAUCUUAAAGAAGCACCAAGAUUUUUUGCUCAGAAAUUCUCCUGUGGUGCCUCAGUAACAGGGGAGGAUGAAAUUAUCAUUCAGGGAGGCUUUACAGAUGACAUAAUUGAUGUCAUGCAGGAAAAAUGGCCAGAGGUAGAUGAUGACAGCAUCGAAGAUCUUGGAGAAGUGAAGAAGUGAAUUUGAAAAUUUGUAUUUAAUGGCCUGAACUGAGAGUUGAUACGGCCAAAGGGAGAGAGGCCUUUAAAAAUAUAUAUAUAUUCUACAGUGAAACUGUAGACUGCCCUCAUCCUUGGCGUUUUCACUGUUCUGUACAAGGCUGCUUGUUUUUUUAAUUGCCAAAGUCAAAUAAACAGGGGAGACUGUCAUUGCUCAUACAUGAAUAGAUUUAGUCAAAUAAAAAAUUCUGGUCAUUUGGUACUGA
This is an RNA transcript of Sapajus apella (tufted capuchin), 940 nucleotides long. It is a transcript of the gene named density-regulated protein pseudogene, with no coding region annotated. The transcript has a single exon. NCBI's taxonomy places the organism in Eukaryota, Metazoa, Chordata, Mammalia, Primates, Cebidae. The record is from RefSeq and is a predicted model, not a curated record.